AUGAAGAGGGCAAGAGAGAUACUUGGGGAGACUUCUGUUCAGCUUCGGGAACAGAAGGCAGAUCUCAAGAUGACCUCCACCAUCGCCUGGACCUGUCUCUCCCUCACAUUCCUUGUUCAGUGCACAGGGUCCAGAGCCCAGUCUGUGCUGACUCAGCAGCCCUCACUAUCUGGGACUCCAGGACAGAGGGUCACCAUCUCCUGCACUGGGAGCAGCAACAAUAUUGGUUGGUAUAAUGUGCACUGGUACCAACAGCUCCCAGAGACAGCCCCCAAACCCCUCAUCUAUGAUAAUAGUAAUCGACCCUCAGGAGUCCCUGAUCGCUUCUCUGGCUCCAAGUCUGGCAAUUCUGCUUCACUGACCAUCACUGGGCUCCAGCCUGAGGAUGAGGCUGACUAUUACUGUGAGUCUUAUGAUGACAAUCUUGGUGCUCCCACAGUGCUCUAG
Non-coding RNA from Urocitellus parryii (Arctic ground squirrel), 447 nucleotides. Lineage: Eukaryota; Metazoa; Chordata; Mammalia; Rodentia; Sciuridae. The record is from the annotation of a RefSeq genome assembly.